GAUCGUGAGUCCUUGCGAAACGACCAAGGUCACUACCUUGUACUACUUAUUUUAAAAUUAUUUUGAUCACGAAACGACGGUGAUCAAUGACCUUAUUAAAAAAUUCUUUCAAGGUUACUAAUGUGUUGGCAGCUAUGGCCAAGGAAGUAGUAUUUGAGAAGAGCAUACACUACACUACUAAUGAAGAGAGCAAAGUUUUCAAGACUUUGACAUGUGAAUAAAGAAGCAAUUUAUCAUGUCACUUGCUUAAAUCAAAUUCGGAAAAUAACAAGGCAUAACCAAUCAAGUUCAUAGACAUAUGAUGCUAAGCGUGUCUCCCAUUGGAGCACUUAUCAACUUAUUAAGCUCAACUAACUCUUACUUUGUUUUCCCAAUGGAAAAAUGUUUAUGUGGUAGGCAUGAUUGUUUCAAUUUAAGGAUUUUUUUUUUAAAAGGAAUUUAAGGACUGUCUUUGAUUAAAGAGUGGUUGCUUAAAAUAAAUGAACUAAAUCCAUUAAAUAUGAACCUUUGGGGUUAAAAGUGAUUGAAAUCUUAAAANNNNNNNNNNNNNNNNNNNNNNNNNNNNNNAGGAAGGAAGGAGCAUAAUGAUUUGAGAAUAUCCUACACCAACAAUAGAGGGCCAAAAUGAAUGCAGAUUAACUAUCUUCAGUGUAUCGAUGGAGGUGAUGCAAUGGCAGAACCGCAAAGGGGGAGGAUGAUUCCAAAUACUUUAAACAAGUUUUAUAUUGCAAGAACAUUUUCACUUCCUCCUUCUUUCAUCUAAAAGAUUACAAAUAUAUUAGUAAAACAUUUCAAAGCAAGCAACAUGCAUACAGAACUUGAAGAACUAAAAGACUCCAGAUUUGUGCCUUCGAUGAUUUAACAACAUCCUCAUUUCGUUCUCAUAGUUCAACACAUUACCAUCCACGUUUCCAGAGUAAUGUGUAUAGAUAUAUUUGUAUCUAAUCAAUAGUCUGAAUUUUAGAAGACUUAUUAAUAUUUAAAUUUAAAUAAUAGUUUAGUAAGUAAUGAUACAUCAACUAUAGACUGACUAUGCUGCAAUUAAAAAUAAUGCAAUCACUAUAGUCAAUGUAAUAGAAAUGUUGGAUUGCUUAAGCUCAAUAGAACAAAAACAAAAGACAAAAAACUGAAUAUAAUAAUAGUGACCUACAUUUACAUUACUUGAAAAAAUCCUUGAAAAAUUGGAUAAUAUUUAUUCUUUUGAAGGAAAUAAAUCAGUGAUUGAACAUCCAUUGAGCUAUGAACUAUCAUUCUCGGGUUAAUAAUAGGGAACCACAACUUAUAUUUUAUUUUUUAAAAAAGCUAAUUUUCUAUUGUAAAACAUGUUUCUGCAGAGAAGUAGAUUAAUGGAAAUAAAUACUACUCUAUCACCUGCAGAUUUACAAAGAAAUUAAAAAAAAAUGUUGUAGAUCCAAAAAUAAGCACACGCAGUAAAGACAUUUUUUUAAAAAAAAACAAAAAGUUUAGAUUUUAUUACAAGCACAUUUACAAUAUUUUUCGAAAAUAACAAAAAAUUUAUAUCCACAAAAAUAGAAAAAAGGAACCACAAAUCC
This 1553-nucleotide long non-coding RNA is filed under the name Trifolium pratense (red clover). RNAcentral's name for it is "long non-coding RNA (TPRA_LNC004991)". Lineage: Eukaryota; Viridiplantae; Streptophyta; Magnoliopsida; Fabales; Fabaceae. The record is from RNAcentral.